Pan troglodytes (chimpanzee) is the source of this 1122-nucleotide long non-coding RNA. RefSeq lists it as uncharacterized. The record is from RefSeq and is a predicted model, not a curated record. NCBI's taxonomy places the organism in Eukaryota, Metazoa, Chordata, Mammalia, Primates, Hominidae. The transcript is spliced from 2 exons.
GGCGUCCUAGUCGGUCAAGGCCGCCAGAGCCCGCGCCUCGGGGAGCGGCCGGGUAGGAACCGCGCCGAGAAGCAGCGGCAGAGGGAACGCCCCGGGGCACCCGACCGAAGUUUGACAACAGGAGGCAUUCAAUAAAUGCACAUCAACGAGGGAAAGCAUGUAACAAUAGAAAACACACAAGCAUUAGCAGCACGCGGCUAAAGAGCGAGGAGGAAGGGAGGAAUGUACAGGUGCUGCUGUGUCCCGAAUUAAGCAGGGCGGUUUGGAGAAGACUUCACAAAUGGAGCCAGUUAAUGAAGCAAGCGGAAGGAAUAUCGUUUGGCGAGGAUAAGAUGAAUGGAGACCCUCUCGGGGAAGGAGGAGUCUCCCCCAAACAUCCUUGAGCUCAGUCUGUCUUGAAAAACCAGUUGAUAUCCUGAACAGAAUGGGUCUGGAGAAUGAGGCCCCCACUUCCGGGGCCAGUUCGAGGACUAUCUAGCUGUGUGAUCUUGGGGAAGUCUCUUGGUCCUCAGAUGGUGGUUGAACUAAUGACCUUUUAUGACACCCCCAGUUCUAUAAAUCAUUGAGUCUUCCUACUCCUAACUCCUUGCCUUCUCUAAUGCCUGAAUCGGAAACAAGAGAAAAAGACAAGAAGUAGGAGAUGAGAAAAAUAAGGCAAUACUUUUUUUUUUUUUUUUUGAGUUUAGGAGCGGAAGUUUAUAGGCAAAAGAAAAGGGAGAACAGCUGUCUUUCUUGCGAGAGAGAGGAGUGACCGAAUGCGACUUCUCAGAAAGCAAUACUUUUAACCUUCUGCUCAAGUAAAAGUGAGAGGGUACAAAAGCAGGAAGGAGUUCCACAUGACUAAUUAUUCCAGCCCACAGUGUUGAAUUUCCAUAGCACAGAAAGUCCAAUGAUAACAAAGCGUCCUGGAAUCUUUUCUAAGUACCAUGCCUCUGUGCUGUCCAGACAUCUCAACAUAAAGGUCGAGGGAGGUGGUUACUCUAUCAAAUCUUUGUGAUGUGAUUUGGAGAAAGAAGGUAAUGAAGCUGUAAGAAGCUUUAGUGGAACCAUCGGUUUCAGAUUGAUUGUUUAAUUCAGCCAUGUGUUGACUUAGCAAAAAUGAGAAUGAGAAAAUCCUAUGAA